RNAcentral lists this ribosomal RNA (253 nucleotides) under uncultured bacterium. RNAcentral's name for it is "partial 16S ribosomal RNA". It matches the Rfam family "Bacterial small subunit ribosomal RNA", at positions 524 to 776 of the family's 1533-position model. The record is from RNAcentral.
UACGGGGGGGGCAAGCGUUGUUCGGAAUUACUGGGCGUAAAGGGCUCGUAGGCGGCCCUCUCAGUCGGAUGUGAAAUCCCCAGGCUUAACCUGGGAACUGCAUCCGAUACUGGAUGGCUUGAAUCCGGGAGAGGGAUGCAGAAUUCCAGGUGUAGCGGUGAAAUGCGUAGAUAUCUGGAGGAAUACCGGUGGCGAAGGCGGCAUCCUGGACCGGCAUUGACGCUGAUGAGCGAAAGCUAGGGGAGCAAACGGG